Molecule: ribosomal RNA, 468 nt
Filed under: uncultured bacterium
Lineage: Bacteria
Description: partial 16S ribosomal RNA
Rfam family: Bacterial small subunit ribosomal RNA
Source: RNAcentral
GACGAACGCUGGCGGCGUGCUUAACACAUGCAAGUCGAACGGAAAGGCCCUGCUUUUGUGGGGUUCUCGAGUGGCGAACGGGUGAGUAACACGUGAGUAACCUGCCCUUGACUUCGUGAUAACUUCAGGAAACUGGGGCUAAUACCGGAUAGGAGCUCCUGCUGCAUGGUGGUGGUUGGAAAGUUUCGGCGGUUGGGGAUGGACUCGCGGCUUAUCAGCUUGUUGGUGGGGUAGUUGCUUACCAAGGCUUUGACGGGUAGCCGGCCUGAGAGGGUGACCGGCCAGAUUGGGACUGAGGUACGGCACAGACACGUACGGGAGGGAGCAGUGGGGAAUAUUGCACAAUGGGCGGAAGCCUGAUGCAGCAACGCCGCGUGCGGGAUGACGGCCUUCGGGUUGUAAACCGCUUUCGCCUGUGACGAAGCGUGAGUGACGGUAAUGGGUAAAGAAGCACCGGCUAACUACGUG